This 251-nucleotide ribosomal RNA is filed under the name uncultured prokaryote. Its description in RNAcentral is "partial 16S ribosomal RNA". It matches the Rfam family "Bacterial small subunit ribosomal RNA", at positions 524 to 774 of the family's 1533-position model. The record is from RNAcentral.
UACGGAGGACGCAAGCGUUAUCCGGAUUUAUUGGGUUUAAAGGGUGCGCAGGCGGACUAAUAAGUCAGUGGUGAAAUUUACAUGCUUAACAUGUGACGUGCCAUUGAUACUGUUAGACUAGUAUACAAAUGACGUAGCUGGAAUGUGUUAUGUAGCGGUGAAAUGCAUAGAUAUAACACAGAACACCGAUCGUGAAGACAGGUUACGAAUUUGUGAUAGACGCUCAUGCACGAAAGCGUGGGGAUCAAACA